CCCUCCGUCCCUUUAUAACUGACGUUUUAGAGUCUUUUUUUCUUUCCAAAAUAUUUGACGUUUUACAAUACCAAGAAUAUUUUGAUUUUUUGUUUCCUUUUCUACCCUUCCUUCUCCACCAUCAUUAAUGGUUAUUUUCUCUGUUUUCAAAAGACAGCAAACUACUACAGAUCCGGCCGAUUAUAGGCAGCAAGCUACUACAGAUCCGACCGAUUAUAUAUAGCAAGCUACUACAUAUUUAUAGAUCCGGCCGAUUCGUAGUAAAUUGAAUCGUUUAAGGAGCGAAAAAUAAAUCAUCGACGUUAUCUGUUCAGGUACUCGAAUACCUGAUAAAGGCUGGGCUUCUUCUUGUUUUUGUUAUCUCCGACGGCGGCAGCAGAGAAAUCUCCGCUGUGCUCGACGGAGAGGAGGUAAACGACAUUUAGGGAAUGGGAAAGCAUUUGGAGUAAGUAAAUCACCGACGGCACCCCCUCUUUCAUUGUUCAAUCACUACCAUAAAUAUUACAGAUUCGGCCGAUCCGUAGUAAAUUUACAGAUCCGGCCGACGAAGCUUACGUCUCACUUUGCAGAGAGACAAAGAAAUUUACAGCUCUAGUCGAUGAAGCUCAGAAAAUAUGAAAAUGAAAUGAGAGAAGAGGGAGAAGAGGGAGAGAUCUGAGUCUGG
RNAcentral lists this long non-coding RNA (664 nucleotides) under Panax ginseng (ginseng). RNAcentral's name for it is "long non-coding RNA (PGIN_LNC000558)". The record is from RNAcentral. Lineage: Eukaryota; Viridiplantae; Streptophyta; Magnoliopsida; Apiales; Araliaceae.